This 499-nucleotide ribosomal RNA is filed under the name uncultured bacterium. Its description in RNAcentral is "partial 16S ribosomal RNA". It matches the Rfam family "Bacterial small subunit ribosomal RNA", at positions 30 to 523 of the family's 1533-position model. The record is from RNAcentral.
AUUGAACGCUGGCGGUAUGCUUAACACAUGCAAGUCGAACGAUGAGAAAGAGCUUGCUCUUUCGGUUAGUGGCGGACGGGUGCGUAACGCGUAGGAAUCUACCUAUUAGUGGGGGACAACUUAGGGAAACUUAAGCUAAUACCGCAUACGCCCUACGGGGGAAAGAAGGGGAUCGCAAGACCUUUUGCUAAUAGAUGAGCCUGCGUAGGAUUAGCUAGUUGGUGGGGUAAAAGCUCACCAAGGCGACGAUCCUUAACUGGUUUGAGAGAAUGAUCAGUCACACUGGAACUGAGAAACGGUCCAGACUCCUACGGGAGGCAGCAGUGGGGAAUAUUGGACAAUGGGCGAAAGCCUGAUCCAGCAAUACCGCGUGUGUGAAGAAGGCCUUAGGGUUGUAAAGCACUUUCAAUUGGAAGGAAAACCUCGAAGCUAAUACCUUCGAGUUUGACAUUACCUUUAGAAGAAGCACCGGCUAACUCCGUGCCAGCAGCCGCCGUAA